UGGAUCAAUGAUGACUACUGGUGGCAUAUGAGUCAUAUAUGAUGAAGAUGUGUCUGGAACCCUAAGGUCCAA
This is a small nucleolar RNA of Equus caballus (horse), 72 nucleotides long. NCBI's taxonomy places the organism in Eukaryota, Metazoa, Chordata, Mammalia, Perissodactyla, Equidae. The record is from Ensembl.